GACGAACGCUGGCGGCGUGCUUAACACAUGCAAGUCGUACGGUAAGGCCCUUUCGGGGGUACACGAGUGGCGAACGGGUGAGUAACACGUGAGUAACCUGCCCACAACUUUGGGAUAACGCUAGGAAACUGGUGCUAAUACUGGAUAUGUGCUCCUGCUGCAUGGUGGGGGUUGGAAAGCUCCGGCGGUUGUGGAUGGACUCGCGGCCUAUCAGCUUGUUGGUGGGGUAGUGGCCUACCAAGGCGGCGACGGGUAGCCGGCCUGAGAGGGUGACCGGCCACAUUGGGACUGAGAUACGGCCCAGACUCCUACGGGUGGCAGCAGUGGGGAAUAUUGCACAAUGGGCGCAAGCCUGAUGCAGCAACGCCGCGUGCGGGAUGACGGCCUUCGGGUUGUAAACCGCUUUCAGCAGGGACGAAGCUUUUUGUGACGGUACCUGCAGAAGAAGCACCGGCUAACUACGUG
RNAcentral lists this ribosomal RNA (465 nucleotides) under uncultured bacterium. RNAcentral describes it as "partial 16S ribosomal RNA". It matches the Rfam family "Bacterial small subunit ribosomal RNA", at positions 28 to 507 of the family's 1533-position model. The record is from RNAcentral.